ACGAACGCUGGCGGCGUGCCUAAUACAUGCAAGUAGAACGCUGAAGGAGGAGCUUGCUUCUCUGGAUGAGUUGCGAACGGGUGAGUAACGCGUAGGUAACCUGCCUGGUAGCGGGGGAUAACUAUUGGAAACGAUAGCUAAUACCGCAUAAGAGUAGAUGUUGCAUGACAUUUGCUUAAAAGGUGCAAUUGCAUCACUACCAGAUGGACCUGCGUUGUAUUAGCUAGUUGGUGGGGUAACGGCUCACCAAGGCGACGAUACAUAGCCGACCUGAGAGGGUGAUCGGCCACACUGGGACUGAGACACGGCCCAGACUCCUACGGGAGGCAGCAGUAGGGAAUCUUCGGCAAUGGACGGAAGUCUGACCGAGCAACGCCGCGUGAGUGAAGAAGGUUUUCGGAUCGUAAAGCCCUGUUGUAAGAGAAGAACGAGUGUGAGAGUGGAAAGUUCACACUGUGACGGUAUCUUACCAGAAAGGGACGGCUAACUACGUG
This 494-nucleotide ribosomal RNA is filed under the name uncultured bacterium. RNAcentral describes it as "partial 16S ribosomal RNA". It matches the Rfam family "Bacterial small subunit ribosomal RNA", at positions 29 to 507 of the family's 1533-position model. The record is from RNAcentral.